RNAcentral lists this transfer RNA (77 nucleotides) under Yersinia mollaretii ATCC 43969. RNAcentral describes it as "tRNA-Met". The record is from RNAcentral. RNAcentral also lists the same sequence under 1 other name. Lineage: Bacteria; Pseudomonadati; Pseudomonadota; Gammaproteobacteria; Enterobacterales; Yersiniaceae.
UGGUGGCCCCUACUGGACUUGAACCAGUGACCAAGCGAUUAUGAGUCGCGUGCUCUAACCAACUGAGCUAAGGGGCC